GGAAGUAAAAAAGUCGUAACAAGGUCUCCGUUGGUGAACCAGCGGAGGGAUCAUUACCGAGUUUACAACUCCCAAACCCCUGUGAACAUACCUAUACGUUGCCUCGGCGGAUCAGCCCGCGCCCCGUAAAACGGGACGGCCCGCCCGAGGACCCUAAACUCUGUUUUUAGUGGAACUUCUGAGUAAAACAAACAAAUAAAUCAAAACUUUCAACAACGGAUCUCUUGGUUCUGGCAUCGAUGAAGAACGCAGCAAAAUGCGAUAAGUAAUGUGAAUUGCAGAAUUCAGUGAAUCAUCGAAUCUUUGAACGCACAUUGCGCCCGCCAGUAUUCUGGCGGGCAUGCCUGUUCGAGCGUCAUUUCAACCCUCAAGCUCAGCUUGGUGUUGGGACUCGCGGUAACCCGCGUUCCCCAAAUCGAUUGGCGGUCACGUCGAGCUUCCAUAGCGUAGUAAUCAUACACCUCGUUACUGGUAAUCGUCGCGGCCUACGCCUGUAAAACCCUCAACUUGUGAUAUCUGUCCGCGAUGCACGCUGGAGCCCUCCAC
Molecule: ribosomal RNA, 546 nt
Filed under: Fusarium equiseti
Lineage: Eukaryota; Fungi; Ascomycota; Sordariomycetes; Hypocreales; Nectriaceae
Description: partial 18S ribosomal RNA
Rfam family: 5.8S ribosomal RNA (bases 205-358)
Source: RNAcentral